This 188-nucleotide unclassified non-coding RNA is filed under the name uncultured Tremellales. Its description in RNAcentral is "sequence contains ITS1". The record is from RNAcentral. Lineage: Eukaryota; Fungi; Basidiomycota; Tremellomycetes; Tremellales.
GUGAAUACAAACGCUUGAGUGUCUCUGCUUCGGCAAGCCUCUCGCACCCUUCACAUCCAUAACACCUGUGCACUGUAAGAUGAAAGAAACCCUGAUUGGGGCGCAAGCUUCUCCUGGGGUCUUCCGACAUCUGACCUUUUCAUACAAACAAUUAUAUGUAACAAAUGUAGUCUUAUUAUAACAAAAUA